RNAcentral lists this ribosomal RNA (641 nucleotides) under uncultured bacterium. Its description in RNAcentral is "bacterial SSU rRNA". It matches the Rfam family "Bacterial small subunit ribosomal RNA", at positions 202 to 838 of the family's 1533-position model. The record is from RNAcentral.
CAAAGGAGGCGACUCCGGUGACGGAUGGGCAUGCGGCGCAUUAGGUAGUUGGUAGGGUAACGGCCUACCAAGCCGACGAUGCGUAGGGGUUCUGAGAGGAAGGUCCCCCACAUUGGAACUGAGACACGGUCCAAACUCCUACGGGAGGCAGCAGUGAGGAAUAUUGGUCAAUGGCCGGAAGGCUGAACCAGCCAAGUCGCGUGAGGGAAUAAGGCCCUAUGGGUCGUAAACCUCUUUUGUCAGGGAGCAAAGGCGUCCACGUGUGGACGAGAGGAGAGUACCUGAAGAAAAAGCAUCGGCUAACUCCGUGCCAGCAGCCGCGGUAAUACGGAGGAUGCGAGCGUUAUCCGGAUUUAUUGGGUUUAAAGGGUGCGUAGGCGGAGUGUCAAGUCAGCGGUAAAAUUUCGGGGCUCAACCCCGUCGUGCCGUUGAAACUGACACCCUUGAGUGAGUGAGAAGUAAGCGGAAUGCGUGGUGUAGCGGUGAAAUGCAUAGAUAUCACGCAGAACGCCGAUUGCGAAGGCAGCUUACCGGCGCUCAACUGACGCUGAGGCACGAAAGUGCGGGUAUCGAACAGGAUUAGAUACCCUGGUAGUCCGCACAGUAAACGAUGAAUGCUAGAUGUCCGGGGCGAAUGAGCU